RNAcentral lists this non-coding RNA (30 nucleotides) under Rattus norvegicus (Norway rat). The record is from RNAcentral. Lineage: Eukaryota; Metazoa; Chordata; Mammalia; Rodentia; Muridae.
UUGGACAGUUAGAAUCUGCUGCAGUGUGGA